RNAcentral lists this ribosomal RNA (466 nucleotides) under uncultured Desulfobulbus sp. RNAcentral describes it as "bacterial SSU rRNA". It matches the Rfam family "Bacterial small subunit ribosomal RNA", at positions 920 to 1382 of the family's 1533-position model. Lineage: Bacteria; Pseudomonadati; Thermodesulfobacteriota; Desulfobulbia; Desulfobulbales; Desulfobulbaceae. The record is from RNAcentral.
CCCGCACAAGCGGUGGAGUAUGUGGUUAAUUCGAUGCAACGCGAAGAACCUUACCUGGUCUUGACAUCCCGGAGACCCUUAGGAAACUAGGGGUGCUUCCAUCUGGAAGAAUCUGGAGACAGGUGCUGCAUGGCUGUCGUCAGCUCGUGUCGUGAGAUGUUGGGUUAAGUCCCGCAACGAGCGCAACCCUUGCCUUUAGUUGCCAGCAGUUCGGCUGGGCACUCUAAAGGGACUGCCGGUGUUAAACCGGAGGAAGGUGGGGAUGACGUCAAGUCCUCAUGGCCUUUAUGACCAGGGCUACACACGUACUACAAUGGCCGAUACAAAGGGCAGCGACACUGCGAGGUGAAGCCAAUCCCGUAAAAUCGGUCUCAGUCCGGAUUGGAGUCUGCAACUCGACUCCAUGAAGUUGGAAUCGCUAGUAAUCGUGGAUCAGCAUGCCACGGUGAAUACGUUCCCGGGCCUU